UAGGGAAUCUUCCGCAAUGGGCGAAAGCCUGACGGAGCAACGCCGCGUGAGUGAUGAAGGUCUUCGGAUCGUAAAACUCUGUUAUUAGGGAAGAACAAAUGUGUAAGUAACUAUGCACGUCUUGACGGUACCUAAUCAGAAAGCCACGGCUAACUACGUGCCAGCAGCCGCGGUCAUACGUAGGUGGCAAGCGUUAUCCGGAAUUAUUGGGCGUAAAGCGCGCGUAGGCGGUUUUUUAAGUCUGAUGUGAAAGCCCACGGCUCAACCGUGGAGGGUCAUUGGAAACUGGAAAACUUGAGUGCAGAAGAGGAAAGUGGAAUUCCAUGUGUAGCGGUGAAAUGCGCAGAGAUAUGGAGGAACACCAGUGGCGAAGGCGACUUUCUGGUCUGUAACUGACGCUGAUGUGCGAAAGCGGGGGGAUCAAACAGG
RNAcentral lists this ribosomal RNA (429 nucleotides) under Actinomycetes bacterium. RNAcentral's name for it is "Actinobacteria bacterium partial 16S ribosomal RNA". It matches the Rfam family "Bacterial small subunit ribosomal RNA", at positions 355 to 776 of the family's 1533-position model. Lineage: Bacteria; Bacillati; Actinomycetota; Actinomycetes. The record is from RNAcentral.